This 1668-nucleotide long non-coding RNA is filed under the name Olea europaea subsp. europaea. Lineage: Eukaryota; Viridiplantae; Streptophyta; Magnoliopsida; Lamiales; Oleaceae. The record is from RNAcentral.
ACGCUAAUUUUGUAAAGAUAUUAGCUGCAUGCGCGGAGUACGGCCUUACGCUAAUUUGGUUAAUAGGAAAGCAAUAUCAUAAAGAAAAUUCUGUGUAUUAUUACAAGGGCUCAAGGGCGUUAAUACCCGAGCUUAUUCGAACAUGAGCUAUCAGGGCAUUAGAGCCCGAAAAGUAAAAACGAAAUGAAGCAAACAUAAAGUGGGCAUGCAAGCUUUAAAAGGGAAAAAUUAUAGCUACAACUAGUUACUUGUAAUAAAUUUUCAGAUCAUCGGCGUUCCAUGGCCUUGGGAGCGGGUUCCCCGAUGUGUCUCUGAGGCUAUAGACUCCAUCUUUAAGUUUUCUUAUGACCUCGAAGGGUCCUUCCCAUGUCGGUCCGAGCUUUCUUGGUUGGUGUCCUGUGGCUUCUGCUUUUCUAAGGACAAGAUCGCCAGUUCUGAACCUUCUUCUCUAGACCUUGCUAUUGAAGUGUUUUGCCGUUCUAUUUUGAUAACUUGCAGCUCUAAGUAAGGCUUGCUCCCUUACCUCUUCAAGCAAGUCAAGGUGCUCAGUAGUUUGUCUCUUCCAUUCAUCUCAAGCUUUCUUAUUGUGGAGAGGCUAACCUCGAUUGGGAUGGUAGCCUCAAGUCCAAAAGCAAGCAUGAAGGGCGUUUCACCAGUUGCUGUUUUGUGUGAAGUCCUGUAUGCUCAUAGUAUAGAAGACGGUUCAUCAGGCCAUCCUCUAUCCUUGUUCGAAGGUUCUGCGAUAUGACUCGAUUAGUUACUUCGGCGAGCCCAUUACUUUGUGGGUGUGAUACCGAGGUCAAGCGAUGAUCAAUCCCAUUGUUGGCAUAGAAGCUCCUAAACUGAGGAUUAUCAAAUUGCCUUCCGUUGUCUGUGAUGAGGACUUUCAAUAUCCCAACCUGCAUAUGACGGACUUCCAUAUGAAUGACCUGAGCUUCGGCUCCAAAAUUUUUGCUAGUGGUUCGGCUUCUACCCACUUUGUGAAAUACUCAACAACCACAGCCACAAAUUUUAAUUGACCUCGGGCUAAGGGGAAUGGCCCAAGAAUAUCAACUCCCCACUGUUCGAAAGGAGCUGAGUAGUGAAUGGAUGUUAGUUCCUCAGCAGGAGCAUGUAUGACGUGGCCAAACUUUUAGCACUUGUCACACUUCCGAACGUAACCUGUGGCAUCUUUCUUCAAACUUGGCCAGUAUUAUCCAUACCUUAUCAACUUAUAUGCAAGAGCUCGGGCUCCCUGGUGAUUUCCACAAAUGCCUUCAUGAACUUCAGCCAUGGCUUGAAGAGACUCAGAAGGUUUGAGACAUCUUAGAUAGGGGAGUGUGAAACUCCUGCGGGACAGGACCUCUUCGAUUAUACAAUAUCUAGCGGCUCUAUACCGAAUGCUUCUGGCAAGCCGAGGGUCUGCAGGUAGAUUGCCAUUACUUAUGUAAUCAAUUAUUGGAUCCAUCCAGGAGGGCUCGUGAUCAAUAUCCAUGACACUUGGCUUUUGAGCUAUGCUGGGUUCUGCAACCAUCUUGAUGUGGAUGGUUCUAUCAAGUCCAUCCACACCCGUGAAGAUGAGUCUGGAUAAUGCAUCAGCUUUGGCAUUAUCGGCUUUACCUAUCUUCAGAAUUUCACAACUUACGAAUUGCCUCUGGAGGUCAUGUACUUUCAAAUAGUAUAAGCUCA